This 303-nucleotide ribosomal RNA is filed under the name uncultured bacterium. RNAcentral's name for it is "bacterial SSU rRNA". It matches the Rfam family "Bacterial small subunit ribosomal RNA", at positions 355 to 656 of the family's 1533-position model. The record is from RNAcentral.
UGAGGAAUAUUGGUCAAUGGCCGAGAGGCUGAACCAGCCAAGUCGCGUGAGGGAAGACGGCCCUACGGGUUGUAAACCUCUUUUGUCGGGGAGCAAAGCGAACCACGUGUGGUUCAUUGAGAGUACCCGAAGAAAAAGCAUCGGCUAACUCCGUGCCAGCAGCCGCGGUAAUACGGAGGAUGCGAGCGUUAUCCGGAUUUAUUGGGUUUAAAGGGUGCGCAGGCGGAGGUGCAAGUCAGCGGUCAAAUUGCGGGGCUCAACCCCGUACUGCCGUUGAAACUGCAUCCCUUGAGUGCGCGAGAA